RNAcentral lists this ribosomal RNA (404 nucleotides) under uncultured bacterium. RNAcentral's name for it is "bacterial SSU rRNA". It matches the Rfam family "Bacterial small subunit ribosomal RNA", at positions 355 to 776 of the family's 1533-position model. The record is from RNAcentral.
UGGGGAAUAUUGCACAAUGGAGGCAACUCUGAUGCAGCAAUGUCGCGUGAGUGAAGAAGGCCCUUGGGUCGUAAAGCUCUUUUAUGGGGGAAGAUGAUGACGGUACCCCAAGAAUAAGCACCGGCUAACUACGUGCCAGCAGCCGCGGUAAUACGUAGGGUGCGAGCGUUGUUCGGAAUUACUGGGCGUAAAGGGCGCGCAGGCGGAAUAGCAAGUCGGAGGUGAAAGCCCGGGGCUCAACCCCGGAGGGUCUUUCGAAACUGCUAAUCUAGAGAGGGUCAGGGGCCAGCAGAAUUCUUGGUGUAGAGGUGAAAUUCGUAGAUAUCAAGAGGAAUACCGGUGGCGAAAGCGGCUGGCUGGGGCCACUCUGACGCUGAGGCGCGAAAGCGUGGGGAGCAAACAGG